UUGUUAUAAGCUUGUACUUAUUAUCUGUGUAAUGUAUCAGUCUUAUAAAAGAUCCCUUACUUGUAUGGAGCCUACAGAAAGUGUCUCUGUCCUUCAUACAGCUUAAAGGAAGCCUAAGUGAUCUAUUAUAGGUAGUCUUUCACUUAGUAUUCAUCCGUAUCGAUCUAAGGCUUGAUCCAACUUAUUAGUAGCCUUAUAAGAAGCUUUCCUCCUUUAAUUUAGUACUGGUAUCACUGCCAUUGUGCUUAGUAGUAACAGGCCUGAUGGGAUGGGUGAUCACAUCAUGGAGGGCCCAGGAAACUGCGUGGAAUUGUCGUAUAACAUUUAUAUUGAUGGUUCCCCCAGGUGGUGGUAAGUGUCGGAGGCCUGAGAAACGCUUGUCUAUUGGCUAGAAUGUUGUUAUGGAGUGUUUAUGAGGACAAGUGGCACGGGAUACGUACAUCUAAAGAAACAAGAGUGGAUCUACGCCAAGCUAGCUAGCUAGAUAGCUGCUCUUUCUAAUCUAUUUCUGUUGCUAAAUUAUGUUUGUUAAGAAGUGGAGCUAUAAUAUACCUGGCUCCUCUUGAUGAUUGUAAGUACUGGGCUGAUGAAAUAGUCCUGUACAAGUUGUCAUCUUUUA
Molecule: long non-coding RNA, 619 nt
Organism: Halichondria panicea
Lineage: Eukaryota; Metazoa; Porifera; Demospongiae; Suberitida; Halichondriidae
Exons: 2
Source: RefSeq, a predicted model, not a curated record